ACGUAUGUCGCAAGCGUUAUCCGGAAUUAUUGGGCGUAAAGCGAGUCUAGGCGGCUUGUUAAGUCAGAUGUGAAAAUGCGGGGCUCAACUCCGUAUUGCGUUUGAAACUGGCAGGCUAGAGUACUGGAGAGGUGGGCGGAACUACAAGUGUAGAGGUGAAAUUCGUAGAUAUUUGUAGGAAUGCCGAUAGUGAAGACAGCUCACUGGACAGAUACUGACGCUAAAGCUCGAAAGCGUGGGGAGCGAACAGG
RNAcentral lists this ribosomal RNA (251 nucleotides) under uncultured bacterium. RNAcentral's name for it is "partial 16S ribosomal RNA". It matches the Rfam family "Bacterial small subunit ribosomal RNA", at positions 525 to 776 of the family's 1533-position model. The record is from RNAcentral.